AUGAAUAUUGAAAACGAUUUUUAACCAUGUGUAUGCCGUUGGUCAACGGGUCAUGGGAGCAGUUAAACUCGCGGACAUAAGAGGAUACCCUUAUGUAUAGGCAGAGAGUUAGUUAUCAGUAAUGAUAAUUAAUACGACCAGAUAAGCUGGUGAAUUAAUUGCUGCGCAAGUAAUAAUCGUGAACGCAAAAAGUCUAGUCACCUGGGGUGGAACAAUAGACGGCUCUGUGAGCAAGAAUCCAAGUUAGGGUUGGGGUGGAAGCCAAUCAGUCCUUGGAAAUCCAAUAAUCCACUCUGUAGUUGAAGCCGAGAAAUUGGCUAUAACCAGGGCAGCUAGGACGAGUAGCCGAAGCUACAGCAUAUUGACUAAUUAAUGGCUCGUGAAAGAGUGAAAUGAAAAGAAAAUUUGCUGAAUGACUGGUGAAAGUUGGAGGUAAAGUCCUCCUGCGGAAAAUGGCUUUUAGCUGGGGUAAGAAGCAAUAAGGUAGCUCCUUAUUGUUCAGCCUUAUCUCCCGCAUGACUGAAUAUUGGGCGUUUAUUAUUUGUAGGGCGAAGGUCCAAAAAUGUUUUCUAUAUUCG
This 578-nucleotide non-coding RNA is filed under the name unclassified sequences. The record is from Rfam.